CCUACGGGAGGCAGCAGUGAGGAAUAUUGGUCAAUGGCCGUAAGGCUGAACCAGCCAAGUCGCGUGAAGGAAGAAGGAUCUAUGGUUUUUAAACUUCUUUUAUAGGGACAUAAAGAUAUCCACGUCUGGAUAUUUGCAUGUACCCUAUGACUAAGCAGCGGCUAACUCCGUGCCAGCAGCCGCGGUAAUACGGAGGAUGCCAGCGUGAUCCGGAUUUAUUGGGUUUAAGGGUGGCGUAGGUUGUUUUUUAAGUCAGUGGUGAAAGUUUGUGGCUCAACCAUAAAAUUGCCGCUGAAACGGGAAGACGUGAGUGUGGUUGAGGUAGGCGGAAUGCGUGGUGUAGCGGUGAAAUGCAUAGAUAUCACGCAGAACUCCGAUUGCGAAGGCAGCUUACUAAGCAAUAACUGACACUGAGGCACGAAGGCGAGGGGAGCGAAAGGGAUUAGAUACCCCUGUAGUC
This 460-nucleotide ribosomal RNA is filed under the name uncultured bacterium. Its description in RNAcentral is "partial 16S ribosomal RNA". It matches the Rfam family "Bacterial small subunit ribosomal RNA", at positions 338 to 795 of the family's 1533-position model. The record is from RNAcentral.